Molecule: ribosomal RNA, 253 nt
Filed under: uncultured bacterium
Lineage: Bacteria
Description: partial 16S ribosomal RNA
Rfam family: Bacterial small subunit ribosomal RNA
Source: RNAcentral
UCCGUAGGGUGCGAGCGUUGUCCGGAUUCAUUGGGCUUAAAGGGCGCGUAGGCGGCCUGUCAAGUCGGCGGUGAAAUGCGAAGGCUCAACCUUCGGACUGCCGCCGAUACUGUCGGGCUUGGGUCGCAGCGGGGCGGGUGGAACUUGCGGUGUAGCGGUGAAAUGCAUAGAUACCGCAAAGAACGCCGAAGGCGAAGGCAGCCCGCUGGUUGCGUUCCGACGCUGAGGCGCGAAAGCGUGGGGAUCCAACAGG